Molecule: long non-coding RNA, 1296 nt
Filed under: Callithrix jacchus (white-tufted-ear marmoset)
Lineage: Eukaryota; Metazoa; Chordata; Mammalia; Primates; Cebidae
Description: lncRNA (ENSCJAG00000077283.1)
Source: RNAcentral
GCUUUCAAAAUUCAGGUUAUCUCAAGUCAAAACCAACAAUACUAGUGCUUUGAAAGAUUCUGAAUGUUUCCUUAGUAAGAGUUUUAGUCAUCUUGUUUGCAAAUUUCUAGGAGGUGGCUUGAGUUUCCUCUUUAAUUAUUCUUUUUUUUAAAAAGAAAAAUCUAAAACCUACAUUUUGAAUUUAGUAACACAGAAAGACUUAAGGUCUUUUGAAAAUGAUUAGCAGACUCAUCAUGAGAGAAAGCAAGUGCAGCUAAGAGGUGUACUCAUUUCGUUCUCUCCAGGUUUAAAGAAACUGUUAACAAAUGGAAGGAAUGGAGAGAGAAGUGGGAAGAAUGAAAGAAACUUACCAAACAGAUUGGGCCCAGAAGCCCUGAAGAGACUUUCGUGAACUGGCCAGCUAUUCCCCAGGAUAAUUGGGUUUACUCAUACCUUAAUAGAAAAAUAGGCAAAAUACAUAGAAAGACACUUCACACAAGAGGAUAUCUGAAUAUUCAACAUCAUCAGAAAUCAAGAAAUACCAAUUAAAAAGCCUCAACGAGAUACUGCUUCACACAUACUAGACUUAUAAGAUUAAGACUGACAAUACCAUGUGUUGGUAAGAUGUGAAGUGAUGGUAACUCUCCCACUUUGCUGGUGGGCAUAUAAAUUGGUAUAACCUCUUUAGAAAGUGGUUUAAUUCUUAUCUAUUAAAAUUGAAUAUAUGUUAUCCCAUAUGAUACAGCUACUCAACAGAAAUGUGUACAUAUAUACACCAUAAUUAAUGUACAAAGGUAUUCACAGCAACCUUAUUCAUGAGGCUGUAAACUGUAAGCAAUCUAAGUAUACAUCAGCAAUAGAAUAGAUGAGUAAACAAAUGAUUGUGGUAUUCAUAUAUAGGAAAAUAUGGUACAGCAUUAAAAAUUAAUGACCACAGCUAUGUGUGACACCGUGGAUGAAUUUCCCAAACACAAUUUUAAGUGAAAGAAUUUAGGUGCCAAGAAUACAUACUGUGUCAUUCAACUUAAGUUUUCAAAAGGCAAUGCUAAUCUAUGAUAACAGUAGUAAGAACAGUGGCUACACUUGCAUAGGAGAGAAGGACUAAUGAUGCAGAGAGCAUAAGCUGGAAUUUCCGCGUGCUAAUUAUGUUCCAUUUAAUUUGGGUGAUGGUUACAUGGGUGUGUUUAUUUUAUGAUAAUUGAUUGAGCUGGCACUUAUGAUUUAUGUUCCUAACUGUGCUUUAAAAUAUGUUGAUGUAUACGUAUGUAUACAAGCAAAUAUAGAAUUUUACCUUUAAUCUGCCUGCUAUUUAAUUAC